GAUAUCUAAACACCGUUCAAAUUUCGAAUAUUUCCCGUAAUAUUUUCGUAUAGAAUUUCACAGCACCGCGGUACACAAUCAAUACGAGGACGGAUUUGUUACGAGCAACCGACCUGCCAACUGAUCGCGCAUGGGUUGAGCAACCAACGUACCGUAUACAGUGGUCUCGUCGAGGAUGCGAACUCUUUUCUUGCAGAAACGCGCGAAGAACACGAUGAAGAACAUGCGAAGGAAA
Long non-coding RNA from Apis dorsata (giant honeybee), 235 nucleotides. RefSeq lists it as uncharacterized. The transcript is spliced from 2 exons. Lineage: Eukaryota; Metazoa; Arthropoda; Insecta; Hymenoptera; Apidae. The record is from RefSeq and is a predicted model, not a curated record.